This 68-nucleotide transfer RNA is filed under the name Cromeria occidentalis. RNAcentral describes it as "tRNA-Asp". It matches the Rfam family "tRNA". From Rfam's summary of the family: Transfer RNA (tRNA) molecules are approximately 80 nucleotides in length. Their secondary structure includes four short double-helical elements and three loops (D, anti-codon, and T loops). The record is from RNAcentral. Lineage: Eukaryota; Metazoa; Chordata; Actinopteri; Gonorynchiformes; Kneriidae.
GAGACACUAGUAAAAUAUUACACUGCCUUGUCAAGGCAGAAUUGUAGGUGGGACUCCUGCGUGUCUUA